Tyto alba (common barn owl) is the source of this 2362-nucleotide long non-coding RNA. RefSeq lists it as uncharacterized. The transcript has 3 exons. The record is from RefSeq and is a predicted model, not a curated record. NCBI's taxonomy places the organism in Eukaryota, Metazoa, Chordata, Aves, Strigiformes, Tytonidae.
CGUCCGCGUCCCCGCCGCCGGCGGACCCGGUGUGUCGCGAUAGCGGGCCGUCCGCGGAGCGGUGGGUCGGGUGGGAGCUGCGCGGCCGCUUACGGCCUCCGCCUCUGCUCGCCCUGCCCGCGCGUUUCUAACGGGAGGCUUAAGGCCGUGGAAGGCUUCGGCUUUUAGCAGUGAGAGUCCAUAUCAGAUAACUGGUGCUAACCCCUGAGGAGUCUACAAGCUAUUCAUAAACCCUGUGAUACACUAUGUUCCACAAGAACUGUGAGUGAGAGACAAGGUGUUCUCCCAUGAAUUCCAGCAGAGAGACGUGAUGAAAGAAAUUUGAGAAAAGACUUAGUCAACAUAAGUAGCUGAGCUGCUGCGGGUCAAACGUUACAACUGUCAGGCCUUGCAGCCAAAGAAAGAAGGAUCAAGGUGAGGUCUUGGAUUCUCCAGCUGGAUCUAUUGAGAAGAGGGUGGGAUGUGUGGCAUGGGGAUAAAUGAAGAAAUGGAUUGCAGAGGGAAGGAUAGGUGGAUCUUCCAGGAAUUAGUUGGGAAGGGAGUUUUGGAAGAACGUGAUGUCUUUCCAGUGUAGGAUGAGGCAGGCUGAAGAUUGAGGAAAGCAGUAGAGGGAGGGGUCAUGUGUUCAUUGUCCCUUAACUGAACUGGUGUACUGGCUUUGUGAACUUCCUAAGAGGUCCCUGGCUAUCUAUAUUGGGGUGGAGUUUAAGUAAGGUAGGGGAAGACUCUCUGUUUUCUUUAGGAAAGAUUAACUACCUAGCUGGGAGCAAGGAAGGGAGAACAGUAAGUUCCCAUGAUAAAUAAAGGCCAUCUGGACAAAAAGCAAGAGGCAAAAAGUGUAAGCGCCAGAGUAUAUGUUGUCCCAGUGCACUGUCUGUAAGGUUGUGGAAGGCUAACGGUGCUGCUGGAGGUGUAAAUACUAGGAAGCAAGGGAAUGACUGUACCUAUGCUUUGAGGAGCUGGUAAAGGGCCUUUCCUUUCCUCCCAGGUCCCAGAUCUGUGGGAGCAUGAGUAGACGUGAAAUGACGUGACUGAUUUGGUAGUUAGUUGGUCAAAACAUAAGAAAACCUCCUUCUCGGUGUGCCUCUAGCCUAGAGGAAACCUCUGCUGCUUGCUAGUGCAGACACAGGAUGAUACUAUGCACACAUAAUUGGUGAGCCACUUGGUGACAUUUGGAUUUACUGGAAUAAGCAUGCUGUAACGAAGAACCAGUGUAAUAACCCCAGGCAUAGUUGGACAGGGAACUUCUCAUCUACCAUGUUAAAAGACAAUAUGGUAUUUAUGAGCUCAGUCUUCUGGGUUUUCUAGCAGUUGCUUGUUUGAGACAAAUAAGUAUGAUGGAUUUGGAAUAGGAACACUUAUAGGGAGGCAAAUCUAGCCUUCAAGCAAUGUCAGUCCUCAGAUGUACCAUGCAAAACCGCCUGAAAACAAUCAACAGACCUGUUCUUGAUGUCUUGUCGAUUUAACUUGUUAAUGGGAACAUAGUGACUUCAUUUAAAAAUGGGAAUGUUCCAUCUGGUUAGACACUUCAAGAGUCUUUAUACAUGUGACUUCUCACCAUCAACAUCCUCUCUACAUGACCUACUUCCCCUACAAUGCAUCCCUGAUGAGUUCCUCUUCAAAACAACUGAAACACCUUUCUUCACUGUUGUUUACUUUCAUUAGCUGCUGGAUUGACCCCCAAGGUAAACGUUUUGCAAACUACCAGCAUAAUAAAUGCCACCUUGACCAAACACCUGUCCUGGGUUUUACUCAUCGUUGUGACCACAGUCACAAAGUUCCUUUGCUAGGGCUGCUUCUUCUAAUAUCACCAAAGGGAAAAUACGAAACCGUCUGAUUGUAUUACAGAUUAUAUGGGGACAGGGAUGCAAAGUAUAUGACAGCAACUGACAGGAAGAAAGAACUAUGCUUACAAAUCAAAUAUGAGUCUAGUUUUGCCACUGCAUGCUUAUCCCAAUGAAUAAAUGUCUUUUCACACUGGAGAUAGGAAGUCAUACACUUCCUUUUGGUAAGCUUAAGAGGCAACCUAGACUGGCAUUACCUUUUGGACCAACCGAGAAGAGAGAGCGCAACAUUUGAAAGACUGCCAUUUGAGGUUUUUUAAAUACUUGGAGCCAUGCUAUAAACCAAACUGUAGUAAAGUGUCUAAUUUUUUAAGCAUGCUGUCAUCUGUAUGUCUGCAUUCUGGUUGCUUGCUAGACAAUCUAUGAUAUAAACAUGGAGGUUAGCCUGAUACUACCAUAUUACUCAGGAGUAAGCACUGCUUUUUUUCCUAAUAGAAAAAAGAGAUUUAUUAAAAUUUAGUGAUUGGAAUGACUUUGUUGUAGUCUUUUUCUAAUGAUGUUUCUUUCAUUAAUCUAUC